CACGUAGUUAGCCGGUGCUUAUUCUUCAGGUACCGUCAUUAGCGAAGGAUAUUAGCCUCCACCGUUUCUUCCCUGACAAAAGAGCUUUACAACCCGAAGGCCUUACUUCACUCACGCGGCAUUGCUGGAUCAGGCUUUCGCCCAUUGUCCAAAAUUCCCCACUGCUGCCUCCCGUAGGAGUCUGGACCGUGUCUCAGUUCCAGUGUGGCUGGUCGUCCUCUCAGACCAGCUACUGAUCGUGGCCUUGGUGAGCCUUUACCUCACCAACUAGCUAAGUCAGAUAUCGGCCGCUCCAGGAGCGCAAGGUCCGAAGACUCCCCUGCUUUCAUCCUUAGAUCGUAUGCGUAUUAGCGUAACUUUCGCUACGUUAUCCCCCAUCCUUGGGCACGUUCCGAUUACUAUUACUCAACCCGUUCGCCCACUCGCCCGCCUAGGUUCGCCCCGUGCCUGCCGUUCGACUUGCAUGUGUAAAGCCAUCGCCGCCAGCGUUCAAUC
Molecule: ribosomal RNA, 495 nt
Filed under: uncultured Massilia sp.
Lineage: Bacteria; Pseudomonadati; Pseudomonadota; Betaproteobacteria; Burkholderiales; Oxalobacteraceae
Description: partial 16S ribosomal RNA
Source: RNAcentral